AUCAAAAACAUAGCUUAAUGGUGCUUUAUAUUAAGUUAAUUCUGCUCAGUGACUAGUUUAACAGCCGCAGUACACUGACUGUGCUAAGGUAGCAUAAUAAGUUGGCUUAUAAUUGAAGUCUAGUAUGAACGAAAUUUAAUGGGUGGUAACUGUCUCUUUAUUUUUUUACUGAAUUUACUUAGAUGGUGAAAAUUCCAUCAGUAAGAAGAAAGACGAGAAGACCCUUAGAAUUUUUAUUAAAGUGACUUCCUCUUCAUUUGUAUUAGCUGGGGCGGCUUUGUGUCAAAUUUAACACACAUUUUUAUUAAAAAACAUAAAAAUUUUAUUUUAUUAGGUUAAUUACCUAAGGGAUAACAGCAUAAUCUUUUUUUUGGUUUGUGACCUCGAUGUUGGAUUAGGAUCUGCUCUGGUUAGCCGCCAAAGCAGAAAGUUCUGUUCGAACUGUAUCACCUACAUGAUCUGAGU
This 465-nucleotide ribosomal RNA is filed under the name Euglandina rosea. RNAcentral describes it as "partial 16S ribosomal RNA". It matches the Rfam family "Bacterial large subunit ribosomal RNA", at positions 1806 to 2610 of the family's 2925-position model. Lineage: Eukaryota; Metazoa; Mollusca; Gastropoda; Stylommatophora; Spiraxidae. The record is from RNAcentral.